Molecule: long non-coding RNA, 803 nt
Filed under: Lynx pardinus (Iberian lynx)
Lineage: Eukaryota; Metazoa; Chordata; Mammalia; Carnivora; Felidae
Source: RNAcentral
AAAAAGUGAAUGGUAAUUUGCAAGCAAAAGAAAACCAGAUUCACAUUCUAAUAUUUACAUUUGUUCUAUUCACAAGUCAAAAUGUUUCUUUUCAUUAGAUAAUUAAAAAUAAACACUUAAAAAAAACAAAUGCAUUUUACUGCAUCAAUACUGUGGGGAGGUAAUUCUGAAUUUAGGAAUGCUCUCUAGAGCAACAUUAAUUUAACUUUGCGUGGGCCAACCGGCCUAUCACUUAGGUCUUUAAUAGCAGCCAUAGCUUCAUUAUAGUUUAUCAUAGCAACAAUGGCUUCCCCUGUAGGUAACCCUUGCUCAUUAUACUGUAUUGAAACUGAAUCAGGUAUGAUUCUAUAACCAUGGAAAAAGUCUAGAAUUUCGUUAACAUUAGCUUUAAAUGGAAGAUUCAUUAUCUUAAUAGGUGUUAGUCUACCUGAACUACAAUUUAAUUUUGGGUCAGGCAUAAAUCUCCCCUCAGGAAAACUUCCCAUACUGCGCUUUCCAAAAUCAAACUUGCCACCUUCUGGGCGACCAAAAUUCACAAAAGGACGAUGACUUCUAAAGUCAUCGGGUGGACUCCUAAACUCCUCACCAGGAGGUCUAAAACUGUCAGGAAGUCUAGGGUCCUCCUCUGGAGGUUUCCUGAGGUCUUCCUCCGGGAGCCGCCUGAAGUCCUCAUCAGAAGGGCAUCUAAAAUCUUCCUCCUGGGGGCUCCUGAAGUCCUCAUCAGGAGGAUGCCUCAAGUCUUCAUCGGGAGGGCCUCUGAAAUCUUCAUCCGGUGGGUGCCUGAAAUCCUCCUCUCGGGGGCG